UCUACCUCUAUAUAUUGUGGUAAGGUCACCACUAGGAUACCUGGGAAAGUCCAGGACGGAGCUUAUUUAUGCCCCAGGUUCCUAACAGAGUUGUUCCGGGACUGUUAAUCCAGCCCGGGUUUUUUGUGUUAUCCUGAGGCAUCUCAGGUGAAUAAUUAAAAAGGCAGUUCAAGCCAGAGUGGGAGAGCUGCAGUCUGAGAAAGAAAGACACAGGGAAGCUGUCUGUGUGAGCGCAGAGAGAGUUUGGAAUCCCUACAAGGCGGUAAAAGGUAACUCGGAUAAAGAAGAUCCAGGCUUCAUGCCCAUAGAGUCUUGUACUGAUAAACCCUCAUUUAAUAUCAGUAAAGGCAUUCUGACGGCUGAUUUUGUACACUAAUCACAAAAUCUAGAAACAUCAAUGGAAUGGCAAGCUUCUUAAUCAGAAAAAGGACAAUCACAAAAAUGCAGGCUAGAAACAAGAUGACGUACCUCCAACAAGCCCAGCACUCAAGUACAGAUGAAUGAUGUUCUGAGAGAAGGAGCUGGUGGCCAAACCCACCCCACACAGUAGUCCUCCAGCCAUGACUGUUACUCUGCAGCCAAAUCUCUCCACCAUGAUAGUGCAAAGUGGACCUGAGCAAAAGGUGAGAAUGAAUAUGUCGUGCUCAAAGAAGGCAAAAAAUGAUGUAAUGAAGAGUUGCAGUAGGAAAUAAGGAGAAAAGGCCUGGUUUCUGCCAUCUGACAGUGACACCAGCUAUAACUAACCUCCUGCAUGCAGGACAGUCAUGAUAAUUGAAGGAAACCAAGAUGUUUCUGUGUUGGAGGCUUGAAAAGAAGACUGAAUAUCUGUGUAAAAGACCCCAAUACAAGAGGGGAAGCCCAAGACCAACCCCUGUGUCACCAUAACGGCUGCCAGGACCACCCAUGCCCAUGGUCCAUCUGGUGCCUCCAUUCUGAUUCCUUGUUUUUGUAUUUCCUCUCAAUUUCUGUUAUGUCCUUGUUUGAACUUGCACAUACAUAUCUGAGAAAAAAAAAUAUAUAUAUAUUUAUCUAUAUACA
Long non-coding RNA from Xenopus laevis (African clawed frog), 1038 nucleotides. RefSeq lists it as uncharacterized. NCBI's taxonomy places the organism in Eukaryota, Metazoa, Chordata, Amphibia, Anura, Pipidae. The record is from RefSeq and is a predicted model, not a curated record. The transcript has 2 exons.